UGGGGAAUAUUGGACAAUGGGGGCAACCCUGAUCCAGCCAUGCCGCGUGUGUGAAGAAGGCUUUCGGGUUGUAAAGCACUUUCAGCGAGGAGGAAGGCUCUAAAGUUAAUACCUUUAGGGAUUGACGUUACUCGCAGAAGAAGCACCGGCUAACUCCGUGCCAGCAGCCGCGGUAAUACGGAGGGUGCAAGCGUUAAUCGGAAUUACUGGGCGUAAAGCGCGCGUAGGUGGUUAGGUAAGCGAGAUGUGAAAGCCCCGGGCUUAACCUGGGAACGGCAUUUCGAACUGUCUGACUAGAGUGUGGUAGAGGGUAGUGGAAUUUCCUGUGUAGCGGUGAAAUGCGUAGAUAUAGGAAGGAACACCAGUGGCGAAGGCGGCUACCUGGACCAACACUGACACUGAGGUGCGAAAGCGUGGGGAGCAAACAG
This 428-nucleotide ribosomal RNA is filed under the name uncultured organism. RNAcentral's name for it is "bacterial SSU rRNA". It matches the Rfam family "Bacterial small subunit ribosomal RNA", at positions 355 to 775 of the family's 1533-position model. The record is from RNAcentral.